AACAAGGCCUUUUUCAAGGCCAUGAAUUCUUAAACAGGGUGAUA
Molecule: non-coding RNA, 44 nt
Organism: Spirochaetes bacterium RBG_13_51_14
Lineage: Bacteria; Pseudomonadati; Spirochaetota
Source: Rfam